UUUCAUGGUUUAGUCAAUGCCUAUGACGAAGCGUUCACUACCUAUGCAGCAAACAACCUUUUGAAAUCGGAUGUUCGCGACGUUUAGCAUGCAUCAGGAGUUGCAUGAUCUAAAGGGGGGAGGAUGUAACCCGGGUGACAAAACCCCAUUUAAAUAUCCUUUCUAUUUAUUUUUCGUCGUCUAAACUGUUCUUGCGUGCGUCAUUACAUCACGCGGUCACGUGACUUGCGUGCGUCAUUACGUCACGCGGUCACGUGACUUAACGCGGCUGUCAGACGAGCAUAAAACCCGGAAGUCGGCUGCUACCGGUGAGAGCGAGAGGGACACACUGUGAGGUUGCUGCAGGAGCCGACUACCGGAGCCGUGGGUCGUCCGCGGAAGUGUUUGAGAGUGAUUUAUCUGCGGAAUUGGCCAGGUUGGAUGGCGAGCUAUAGAGCCCUGAACUAGAGUCUGAAGCUUUAUGCCUGGAACCGAACUACUUGAACUGUAUCCACCCAACCGAACCCCGGGCUGGUAGGAGGCUUCUCAGCAGCCGCCCUCUGUUUUCCCUUCUUUUUGCCAAAACGCAACAAGUUCAUUGCGGUCCUCCUGAACCUUCAUUUUUCCCCGUCCCUUCACUAAAACCCCUCUGGACACUGCCACCACAGCGUGGACUUUGCAGGGCCCGUUUAAUGAACUAUGAUAUGGUGUUGCGCUCAUACCAUCGUUGGUAAAAACCAAGGACUAAAUCAUGUAUACUGAUAUUGUAAAUAACUGAA
This is a non-coding RNA of Nerophis lumbriciformis (worm pipefish), 758 nucleotides long. Lineage: Eukaryota; Metazoa; Chordata; Actinopteri; Syngnathiformes; Syngnathidae. The record is from RefSeq and is a predicted model, not a curated record.